Molecule: long non-coding RNA, 600 nt
Organism: Salmo salar (Atlantic salmon)
Lineage: Eukaryota; Metazoa; Chordata; Actinopteri; Salmoniformes; Salmonidae
Source: RefSeq, a predicted model, not a curated record
UAAAAAUUUGAUUUAUGCAGCUCUGUGGGCAGGACCUUUUACUCCUGACCAAUCAGUUCCCUCUGUUAAAACCACAACCGCCUAACCAUUGGCUGGAUUGUUCCAUCGAUCAAAUCUCAGGAAGUAGCUCCCCACAUGAGCAAGAGAGGAUAAGGUGGAGAGGGAGUAAGAUCACUAGAAAGCCGCAUGCUGCCAGACCACCAAAGGACCCUAGAGGUUGAAGAACAUCCCCAACACCCAGACUGACCUAAAGAACUUGGGAACCUCCCAGACACCAGGAGAAUCAUCUUGUUCUUGGUGUUUAUUCACAAGGUUUGUCAUGAUUUCCAGGAGCCUAGUGGAGUUGGAUACAACAUACUCCAAGGCAGGACAUUUCCCUGCAUCCAGGUUAAGGUCUGCUACCAGCAGGAACAUGGAGCACUCCAUGUCAGUAAUCAUAUACACUACCGUUCAAAAGUUUGGGGUCACUUAGAAUUGUCCUUGUUUUUGAAAGAGGAGCAAUUUUUUUCUCUCUAUUAAAAUAACAUCAAAUUGAUCAGAAAUACAGUGUAGACACUGUUAAUGUUGUAAAUGACUUGUAGCUGGAAACGGCAGAUUUUU